UUAUGGCCUCAUCAGUAAGCCAUUGACAGACCUGCUGAAGAAAGAGGCAUUUCAAUGGGAUGAUGAGGCUCAGUCAGCCUUUGAGCACUUAAGGGCAACAGUGUCUCAAGCUCCAGUUUUAGCCAUGCCAAAUUUUUCUAAGCCUUUCACCAUUGAAAUAGAUGCUAGUGGGACAGGCAUGGGGGCUUUUUGGCAACAAGAAGGACAUCCCAUAGCAUACAUUUCAAAGGCUUUUGGGCUUAGAACUCAGGCCUUAUCAGUGUAUGAAAGGGAGCUUCUAGCCAUCACUUUUGCUGUUACCAAAUGGAGACAUUACUUGGAACAAGGGCCAUUCUUUAUUAAAACUUAUCAUGAGAGUAUAAAGCACCUUCUUGAGCAAAGAUUGCAUACUAAUUUGCAAUUAAAAGGUGUCUCUAAGCUACUAGGAUUACAAUACAAAAUUUUGUAUAGGAAGGGUGUGGAAAACAAAGCAGCAAAUGCUUUGUCCAGGAGACUUGUUAUUGAUGAAGGUCAAUCUUUUUUGCUGCAUUUCUCUUUACAGCCAACAUGGAUGAGCCAAUUACUGACUAGUUAUGAAGGAGAUCAGCAUGCUGCUGACUUAUUGUCUCAUUUAGCCAUUGAUGAGACAUCUCAUCCUGGUUGCACCAUCAAGAAUGGUCUGCUGUUUCAUAAAAAGAAGCUAUAUGUGGAUAGUAAUAGGCACUUGAGGGAACAAUUAUUAUCCCUCUAUCAUAAUUCUCAUUUGGGAGGCCAUUCUGGCAUUAAU
RNAcentral lists this unclassified non-coding RNA (766 nucleotides) under Hevea brasiliensis (rubber tree). The record is from RNAcentral. Lineage: Eukaryota; Viridiplantae; Streptophyta; Magnoliopsida; Malpighiales; Euphorbiaceae.